This 282-nucleotide ribosomal RNA is filed under the name uncultured Bacillus sp. RNAcentral describes it as "partial 16S ribosomal RNA". It matches the Rfam family "Bacterial small subunit ribosomal RNA", at positions 1100 to 1382 of the family's 1533-position model. Lineage: Bacteria; Bacillati; Bacillota; Bacilli; Caryophanales; Bacillaceae. The record is from RNAcentral.
AACCCUACGUUUAGUUGCUAACGCGUGAAGGCGAGCACUCUAGACGAACUGCCGUUGACAAAACGGAGGAAGGUGGGAUGACGUCAAAUCAUCAUGCCCCCUUAUGUUCUGGGCUACACACGUGCUACAAUGGCCGGUACAGACGGACGCAAAGCCGCGAGGUGGAGCAAAUCCUAAAAAGCCGGUCUCAGUUCGGAUUGCAGGCUGCAAUUCGCCUGCAUGAAGUCGGAAUCGCUAGUAAUCGCAGGUCAGCAUACUGCGGUGAAUACGUUCCCGGGCCUU